GGGGUUGUGGCUCAGAGGUAAAGCACUCGCCCACCACGUGUGAGGCACUGGGUUCCACCCUCAGCACCACA
RNAcentral lists this transfer RNA (71 nucleotides) under Marmota monax (woodchuck). RNAcentral describes it as "tRNA.Gly". The record is from RNAcentral. Lineage: Eukaryota; Metazoa; Chordata; Mammalia; Rodentia; Sciuridae.